Magnolia sinica is the source of this 289-nucleotide long non-coding RNA. RefSeq lists it as uncharacterized. The record is from RefSeq and is a predicted model, not a curated record. The transcript is spliced from 2 exons. Lineage: Eukaryota; Viridiplantae; Streptophyta; Magnoliopsida; Magnoliales; Magnoliaceae.
UUGCAAGCUCAAGAUAGACCAGAGCAGUUGUCAUCUCCCCCAUCUAAUGUAAAUACAGAAGCAAGCAAUUAAUCCUUGAUUAGUAGCCAACUUGAAAACAUUCCUACCUUAUAUAUAGAGAGAGAGAGAGAGAGAGAGAGAGAGAGAGGAUGGCCUCCUGCAAGGCAGACUGUAAUUAAGAUAUGUUCGAGUGUUAACCAUGUUCAUUGGAUGGCACUGACGGCUGAACUAAAGGGCAACUUAAAGAGUCUCACCCAUCAACUUGCUACUUGAAGCCACCUUGCGCGAC